Molecule: RNA transcript, 1140 nt
Organism: Capra hircus (goat)
Lineage: Eukaryota; Metazoa; Chordata; Mammalia; Artiodactyla; Bovidae
Gene name: high mobility group protein B1 pseudogene
Exons: 1
Source: RefSeq, a predicted model, not a curated record
UUGCAGUACAAUGAGCUCCCUAGAGACAGUGCUGGGGCAAGUGAGAACCGGACGGGCACUGGGCGACUCUGUGCCUCGCGGAGGAAAAAUAAUCAUGGGCAAAGGAGAUCCUAAGAGGCCGAGAGGCAAAAUGUCAUCAUAUGCAUUCUUUGUGCAAACUUGCCGGGAGGAGCACAAGAAGAAGCACCCGGAUGCUUCAGUCAACUUCUCAGAGUUUUCUAAGAAGUGCUCAGAGAGGUGGAAGACCAUGUCUGCUAAAGAGAAAGGAAAAUUUGAAGACAUGGCAAAGGUGGACAAGGCCCGUUAUGAAAGAGAAACGAAAACUUAUAUCCCUGCUAAAGGGGAAACAAAAAAGAAGUUCAAGGAUCCCAAUGCACCCAACAGGCCUCCUUCGGCCUUUUUCUUGUUUUGUUCUGAGUAUCGACCAAAAAUCAAAGGUGAACAUCCUGGCCUGUCCAUUGGCGAUGUUGCAAAGAAACUGGGAGAGAUGUGGAAUAACACUGCUGUGGAUGACAAGCAGCCUUAUGAGAAGAAGGCUGCUAAGCUGAAGGAAAAAUAUGAACAGGAUAUUGCUGCAUAUCAAGCUAAAGGGAAGCCUGAUGCAGCAAAAAAGGGAGUUUUCAAGGCUGAAAAAAGCAAGAAAAAGAAGGAAGAGGAGGAAGAUGAGGAAGAUGAAGAGGAUGAGGAGGAAGAAGAAGAUGAAGAGGAUGAGGAGGAAGAAGAUGAUGAUGAUGACGAAUAAGUUGGUUCUAGCGCAGUUUUUUUUUUUUUUUCUUGGCUAUAAAGCAUUUAACCCCCCUGUACACAACUCACUCCUUUUAAAGAAAAAAAAUUGAAAUGUAAGGCUGGGUAAGAUUUGCUUUUAAACUGUACAGUGUCUUUUUUUGUAUAGUUAACACACUACUGAAUGUGUCUUUAGAUAGCCCUGUCCUGGUGGUAUUUUCAAUAGCCACUAACCUUGCCUGGUACAGUAUGGGGGUUGUAAAUUGGCAUGGAAAUUGAAAGCAGGUUCUUGUUGGUGCACAGCACAAAUUAGUUAUAUAUGGGGAUGGUAGUUUUUUCAUCUUCAGUUGUCUGAUGCAGCUUCUACGAAUAAUUGUUGUUCUGUUAACUGAAUACCACUCUGUAAUUGCAAAAAAA